RNAcentral lists this ribosomal RNA (507 nucleotides) under uncultured bacterium. RNAcentral's name for it is "bacterial SSU rRNA". It matches the Rfam family "Bacterial small subunit ribosomal RNA", at positions 12 to 494 of the family's 1533-position model. The record is from RNAcentral.
UUUGAUCAUGGCUCAGGACGAACGCUGGCGGCGUGCUUAACACAUGCAAGUCAAGGAGAAUGAGUUUCUUCGGAGACUCUAGUAAACUGGCGAACGGGUGAGUAACACGUAGGUAACCUGCCCUUGGAUUGGGGAUAACCUUGCUAAAGCGGGGUUAAUACCGGAUGAUGUUUUCUUUUCGCAUGACGAGGAAAUGAAAGUUGUCUUGAUUAUUCGGGAUAGCGUCCAUGGAUGGACCUGCGUCCCAUUAGCUAGUUGGCGAGGUAACAGCUCACCAAGGCGACGAUGGGUAGCCGGCCUGAGAGGGUGUCCGGCCACACUGGGACUGAGAUACGGCCCAGACUCCUGCGGGAGGCAGCAGUGAGGAAUAUUGCGCAAUGGCCGAAAGGCUGACGCAGCAACGCCGCGUGGGUGAUGAAGUUCUAAGGAGCGUAAAGCCCUGUUAGGAGGGAAGAAUAGUGUCGAUGUGAAUAAUGUCGAUAUUNGACGGACCUCCAGAGAAGCCCC